This 253-nucleotide ribosomal RNA is filed under the name uncultured bacterium. RNAcentral's name for it is "partial 16S ribosomal RNA". It matches the Rfam family "Bacterial small subunit ribosomal RNA", at positions 524 to 776 of the family's 1533-position model. The record is from RNAcentral.
UACGGGGGGAGCAAGCGUUGUUCGGAAUUACUGGGCGUAAAGGGCGCGUAGGCGGUUCGUACAGUCAGACGUGAAAUUCCUGGGCUCAACCUGGGGGCUGCGUUUGAUACGUGCGGACUUGAGUGCGGAAGAGGGUCGUGGAAUUCCCAGUGUAGAGGUGAAAUUCGUAGAUAUUGGGAAGAACACCGGUGGCGAAGGCGGCGACCUGGUCCGAUACUGACGCUGAGGCGCGAAAGCGUGGGGAGCAAACAGG